GUCCUAGCCGUAAACGAUGGGUACUAGGUGUUGGAGGAUUCUACCCCUUCAGUGCCGCAGCUAAUGCAUUAAGUACCCCACCUGGGGAGUACGAUCGCAAGGUUGAAACUCAAAGGAAUUGACGGGGGCCCGCACAAGCGGUGGAGCAUGUGGUUUAAUUCGAUGCAACGCGAAGAACCUUACCUAGGCUUGACAUGCAGGGGACAGGUGUAGAAAUACAUCCUUCCUUCGGGACCCUUGCACAGGUGCUGCAUGGCUGUCGU
RNAcentral lists this ribosomal RNA (263 nucleotides) under uncultured bacterium. Its description in RNAcentral is "partial 16S ribosomal RNA". It matches the Rfam family "Bacterial small subunit ribosomal RNA", at positions 793 to 1055 of the family's 1533-position model. The record is from RNAcentral.